AGGGGGCGGAGCGUCGCCGGGCAGAGAGGAGCCCUCUUCUCUCCCUCGCGCAGUAGUUGCGGCUUCCCCCGCCUCCCUCGCUCGCGGGAAUCCGGGUACCGCGGCCACAUCGGGUCGGCCCCUUCCACUCCCUCCGGGCGCGCGGCCUGGGCAUGCAGCUCCUGCGGGGAUUGAAGAUCUGGGGGCUCGGCGCCUCCGCAGGCCUGGUCGCCGCGGCCCGAGCCCCCGCCGCCUGCCGCGGCCACCGCCCCCCGCUCCGCCCCAGCGCGCCGCCGCCCGGCCCCCAGCCCCGCCCCGCCUCCCGCCUCCGCCCCGCGCCCAGUCCCUGGCCGCAGCGCCCGGCCGCUGUCGCCGGCUGCAGAGGCCUGCCGCCCGCUAGCGCCGCCACCAUGGAGCACCCCGGAGCCGGAGGAAUAAAUUCCAAUGAGUGUGAAAAUGUGUCAAGAAAAGAGGAAAUGUCAGAAGAAUUUGAAGCUGACGCUAUGGAGUCUCUGGCGGAUUUGCCAUUUGCUACUGUAGAUAUUAAAGAUGAUUAUGAAAUCAUUGAUGUACCGCAAAGAAAUUUGGAGAGAAAUAAAGAAAAUGAAUGGAACAAUAAAGAACAAAUAAAGAAGAAGAAAAAAAGGGAAAAAGAUUAUCAACCCAACUAUUUUCUGUCCAUUCCCAUCACUAACAAAGAGAUUGUAAAAGGAAUUAAAAUCCUGCAAAAUGAAAUAAUACAACAAGAUCAGCGACUGGCCAAAGCAAUGAGCCGUGACGGUUCCUUUCAUAUUACCCUGCUAGUGAUGAAGUUAUUAAAUGAAGAUGAAGUGAACAUUGGUAUUGACGCCCUUUUGGAACUAAAACCAUUCAUAGAAGAAAUCCUGCAAGGAAAACCUUUGACUUUGCCCUUUGAAGGGGUUGACACUUUUGGAAAUCAGGUUGGAUUUGUCAAGCUGGCCAAAGGAGAUCACAUAAACCCACUUUUGGAGAUUGCAGAUACUGCAAAAAGGACAUUUCAAGAAAAAGGCGUCUUGGCAGGAGAAAGCAAAACUUUCAAGCCUCAUUUGACCUUCAUGAAAUUGUCCAGAACACCAUGGCUCCGGAAGAAGGGAGUGAAAAAAAUAGACCCCAAAGUCUAUGAAAAAUUCAUCAGUCACAGAUUUGGAGAAGAAGUGGUACAUUGCAUAGAUCUGUGCUCCAUGCUGAAGAAAAAACAAAGUAAUGGUUAUUAUCACUGUGAGUCAUCAAUUGUGAUUGAAAGAGGCCAUCAUCGCCGAUCUUCUCAGUGGUGCUUCUAGAUUUGGGGCAUUUUCUGGGCUGCUGAUAAUACUUGAUGCUCUGAUUUGAAAAUUCAUAGUAUUGAUUUAAUGCAUGAAGAGAGCAGCAAAGCAGUGUUUCAGAAAGCAGGUAUUUAACUUUAAAAGAUGUGCUGUAAAGUGCAGACAAUUGAUGUUCUCUUUUAACCUUCCCCAACCCCCACCCUGGUCAUUUCUACAGUUCUGGCAGUUUUUUAAGUAGUUCCUGGUACUUCAUUCAAGUUGUGUUUUCCGUGUUGUGCAAAGUCAGGUUCCCAAUUCCCAAAACAAAGAAACAAAAAUCUCCUGGGGAUAAAAGAAAGCUCUUCCUCUUUAAAUAGCAGACAGAAAAUAUGAGGCAUUUUUUUUUCCCCUUUGGAUUUCCCUGUGUAAUUACCGUAUUUGUCUGCAGGAGAAAGGACUCCUUGUGGUUUCUUCUCGAUUACCUUUCUUAAAGACACAUCCACGUAUCCGCAUCGCGCACGUGGCUUUCCUCCCGGGGUCAGAGCUCCCAGUUUUGUGAGAAUUCGGCGAGCAUAUGGCCACUUGUUUCCCCGAAAGCCAGUCCCGGAGCGGUAGGAGCGGUGGCGUUGGGCUGGAGUCCGGGGAGGUGGAGCCUUUUUGCUCGCUGCAGCCGGUCCCCCCCUCCUCCGCCUCUGUCUCUGCCGUCGGUCGCCGCGCAUCCUGUGCAUCGGCUCUUCGUGCUCCGCGUGCAGCUCCGGCUCCGCGGCGGGGAAGAGGCAGGGUGUGCUCGCAGACCGUGGGGUAAACUGCAGUCGCUCUUUGGGGAGCCCCGGGAGAACACCUGGAAGGAGGGAGAACACCGGUACCAUGGGCCAGCUCUGCUGCUUUCCUUUCUCAAGAGAGGAGGAAAAAAUCAUUGGAUUGACGGCAACAUUUAUGCUGCUGAUCUGCCUUGGUGAACAUGGCCUUCAGAACAGGAAAGUGACAUUUAUUUCUGCUUGAGUCAACUCCUAACCUGGAAUAUCAGCCUCGAAAGAGAAGUGCAUAUUCUCAUGAGCAGGUGAUAAGAAUGGAGGUGAGCCCGAUGAUGCUGAAUUGGUAAGGCUCAGUAAGAGGCUGGUGGAGAAUGCGGUGCUCAAGGCCGUCCAGCAGUAUCUGGAAGAAACACAGAACAAAAACAAGCCAGGGGAUGGGAGCUCUGUGAAAACUGAAGAGGCUGAUAGGAAUGGCACUGACAGUGACAACAACAGGAAAUGAGACCCGAAUGCAGGCAGGCCCCCACUGCUCCGUGAGAAGCAACCCUGCUCCCCUCUGCCGAGUCAAUGGACUGAUUUGCAUCGUGCUGUUUAAGUAUCCGUUGUCCAGUCUGUGGAGAUUGCCUAAUAUUUUCAUGAUCGGUGUGUUUGCAUUUCUGAAACACAGCAGACGAGAAAUGCAGUGCUGCCUAUCAGAGGAAAUUAAUUGAUGAAGGAAGAAUGGCCCAGGUGUCACUUGCCCUCUGCUGUGGUCAAGGGAGAGGGGACUUUGGGUUCUGCCCUGUGAACUCAAAGUAAAGGCCAUGGAAGGGGCCUUGCCAUAAAUGGAAUACUGCCACUUAUAUUGCUGAGCAGGGCAUUUGACUACCUUAUCUCGGCCAAAAGGCACAAAGCUAACAAGUGCUACAUUUCAAACGAUCACUGUUGAAAUUACUCUCCAUCUAGUUAGCUAUAUUGUUUCAUGUUUGUCCUGUGUGUGCUGUCACUAUGCAGUGAUCUUUAUUUACAGUAAAUUUGUUUCAUGUAAAUGAUAUAUUUUUGGUGAAAUGCAACCUUUUCUAUAAAAUGUGGGCAGCAUUUUAAAGGUUUCUUUUUAACCCUCUUUUGAUAAGUCACUGUGCCACGUUUAGUGUUUUUCAUUGGUAUUCAUAUGUAAAAUGUAUUAUAUAAUUUUUUUUCUCCAUAGGCAAGAAACCUGUGGGAAUCCGGGACUUAAUUAAUGAAGCUUUGCGUCGAGAAAGGAUGGGUCUGAAGUCCAAAGUGAAACAGAUAAAGGAACUUAUGUUAAGGCCUGAGACUCAGGCCAGAAUUAGGAGGGAGCUUUUGGAAGGAAGAUCCAUUAACCACAGUUAUCAAGGAAAAGAGGUUGAUUAUUUCAGCACAAUUUUGACAUAAGCUCUACAUUGCUCUCAUGGUACCAGAGUUUAUGAAAUCUUUUCAGUUCAUUAAAUGGCUCUUUGGUAAAUACCAAAGAAGAUAGUGUCUGCACAAUAGCAGACCAACAUUUGGUAAGGAAUUAAUCAUUUCUUGCCAAAGAAAACUGAUUCUUCCCUGUUAUUUUUAAGUCAGAUGUGUUUUAGAAUGUUUAUCUCUAAUAUCAAAAUUCAUUUUAUAGAAAAGACUUCUUAACUAGCUGUUGUGAGAUGGUCUUUGGGUCCUCACAGAUAAAAUGUACAGACUGUGAAAAAUCAUUUACAGACAAAAAAAAAAAAUACAGCAUUUUAAGGUCACUGACAUGAUUUUUGUUAAAUCAAAAGAAGCAUUGUUCUCAUGUAUCUAUAUCUCGUGUGACUUUUAAUGAGACUUUGAAUGUUUAUUGAUCACUGGUACUUGAAUGAACAUUUAUAAAUGUAAAUGUAAUUAUUGUAAUCACUGGUUACGAAUGUUUUAUAACGUCCAUAUGUAUUACUUUUCAAUGAUCAAAAUGUAGUUUGCUUUUUCAUUUCUUAAUGAAUGUUCGGGAUUUUUAUUUUCUACUUUUAUGAAGAUAAGCCCCAGGUCUUACUGUAUCCCUUAUAAUCUGAAUUUGUUUGCACUGGUUCAUUUUUAAAGACAAUUCUUAAAAAUUUUCCCUCCCUAUGAUCAUCACUGGUAACAGCUUUUUCUAUAGUCAUUGUAAAAUCGCUGCUACUAAGAGAUCAUGAUGCAGGGGGAAAUUAUUGGAGAUCAAAUAUGUAGUCAUUUCAAAUAUAAAAUCCAGUUUACUCAUGGAUUUUAGCUAUUUUUUCACUGGGUAAAUUAUAAUUAUAUUACAUUUAUUUAUAAGUGAGUUUAUGCAUUUUCAUGCCUCUUAAUAAAUGCAUUGUUUUCCCUUG
This is a non-coding RNA of Sus scrofa (pig), 4311 nucleotides long. The record is from RefSeq and is a predicted model, not a curated record. NCBI's taxonomy places the organism in Eukaryota, Metazoa, Chordata, Mammalia, Artiodactyla, Suidae.